CCCCCACCUCCCCACUUUUAGGAACAUGGCCUCCCAGCUACAGACUACAUUUACCAGCAUCCCUUGAAGCUAAGUAUGUUCAUGUGAUGAGAUUCUGGGCAACGGAGGAGGAGUGGAAUUUAUAUGUCACUUCCUUGAAGACACCUGCCAUGAACUCUUUCUCCAGCAGCGCUGAGGAGUGCGACAUUCAGGAAAUGGCAAUGCGGCAGUAAGGAAGGAAUCUGUGCCCUUUAAUGACCUAGAGGAGUAGAUCCACUUCGCCACCUGGACCGGCCAGACUAAUGUGGCCCGGACUCUCAGCUGGACUGACAGGCAAAAUAUCUGUGUCCGUGUACGUUAUUCAUCUGUCACUGGGUCAAGGUCUCCGGGACAGACCCCCUACAGCUGGCGCUCCGUGUGAGGAAUGCUGCGAAGGAUCACGACGGACCCCCCAAAAUGAAGGUGAAAAGGACCGCAGAGUCAGUGAGUCAGAUACAAAGCUGGAAUAAGAGGAAUGACCACUUCGUCUGACAGACCUGUUGCUGCACACAUCUGUACCCUUCGGUCAACAGAACCCGAUGCAAAGAACAGAAAAGGGAGAGAUGUGGGAGUUCAGACAGGCUGGUGGCGUGUCCAGAAUUUAUUCCUUCCGGUGGGUUCUUGGUCUCGCUGACUUCAAGAAUGAAGCCGCAAACCUUUGCUGUGAGUGUUACAGCUCUUAAAGGUGGUGUGGACCCAAAGAGUGAGCAGCAGCAAGAUUUAUUGUGAAGAGCAAAAGAACAAAGCUUCCACAGCAUGGAAGGGGACCUGAGUGGGCUGCUGCUGCAGGCUGGGAUAGCCAGUUUUUAUUCCCUUAUUUGUCCCCACCCACAUCCCGCUGAUUGGUCCAUUUUAUAGAGUGCUGAUUGGUGCGUUUACAAUCCUUUAGCUAGACACAGAGCGCUGAUUGGUGACUUUUUACAGAGUGCCGAUUGGUGCAUUUACAAUCCUUUAGCUAGACACAGAGCGCUGAUUGGUGCGUUUUUACAGAGUGCUGAUUGGUGCGUUUACAAUCCUUUAGCUAGACACAGAGUGCUGAUUGGUGCAUUUUUACAGGGUGCUGAUUGGUGCAUUUACAAUCCUUUAGCUAGAUAGAAAAGUUCUCCAAGUCCGUACCCUACCCAGGAAGUCCAGCUGGCUUCACCUCUCAGUGGGAAAAAUUUUAAAGAUAGUUAUAAGAAAAAGACACAAACCUUCUUGGAAGGCUGGUUGGGGGUUGGUUUGCAUAAGCUCCAGUAAUAGAUCAGGCUGAAGGCAGCCUAAUCCUUACCUUGAGUUAAUAGUUUAGGGCACAGAUACAAAGGAAUGUAGAGCAAUUUAUCUAAAUAGCUUCUUUACUCAUGUGGUCCUAAAACCAACCUUUGAUCAACCACAGGUGCAUAAUUGCUUCUACUCUGGAGGUGGGCAGUGUCAAUUACCCUCUAGUGGUGUUUACUCAAGACCUUUGUCAUUUAAUCUAUACUGAAUAAAUGUGAGCUUUGCUGGCUGAUUGGGGCCACAGCUGCAACUCUACAGCACCCUCCUUGGUGUCUGUAGGUGGCCUGGACCCUCAGCUGGACUGACAGGCAAAAU
Molecule: long non-coding RNA, 1590 nt
Filed under: Homo sapiens (human)
Lineage: Eukaryota; Metazoa; Chordata; Mammalia; Primates; Hominidae
Description: HSALNT0213671
Source: RNAcentral